RNAcentral lists this small RNA (716 nucleotides) under Bos taurus (domestic cattle). The record is from RNAcentral. Lineage: Eukaryota; Metazoa; Chordata; Mammalia; Artiodactyla; Bovidae.
UGUUUUCCUCUAUUUCUUUGCAUUGAUCACUGAGGAAGCCUUUCUUAAGGGAUUUGACGUAGGUUAUACCUGAAUAGUCUAAUGUUUUUCUCUACUUUAAAAUUUUAAGUCUGAAUAUGGCAAUAAGGGAUUCAUGAUUUGAGCCAUAGUCAGGUCACCAUCCUGUUUUUGCUGACUACAUAUUGCUUCUCCAUUUUGGCUGCAAUGUGAUGUCAGUCCUGAACUUACGGUGAAUCCAUGAGUAGAGUCUUCUCUUGUGUUGGUGGACCAGGGUGCGUGCUAUAUGUUGUGUGGUCUCUUGGCAGAACUCUGUUAGACUUUGACUGGAUUCCUUUUGCACUCCAAUGCCAAAUUUGUCUGUUAUUCCAGGUAUCUCUUGAUUUUCUACAUUUGCAUUCCAUUCCUCUAUGGGGAAAAUGAUGUCUUUUUUUGGAUGUUAGUUCUAGAUGGUCUUUCAAGUCUUCAUACAAAUGUUCCACUUCAGCUACUUCAGCAUAACUGGUCAGGACACAGACUUGGUUUACUGUGCUGUUGAAUGGUUUGUCUUGGAAAUGAAGAGAGAUCCUUCUUCUUCUUACACAUCUUGUGAUCUGUCAGCUUCAUCUCUUCAUCACCUUGACACUUUUGUGGACCUCAGUUGACAGGAGGUCUUCAUCUUUUCCUCCUGGUUGCCUGAAGUCGGCUGUUCCAUAAGUGCUCUAGAGCCUUGUGGCUUC